CCUACGGGGCGCUGCAGUGAGGAAUAUUGGUCAAUGGGCGUAAGCCUGAACCAGCCAAGUCGCGUGAGGGAUGAAGGUUCUAUGGAUCGUAAACCUCUUUUAUAAGGGAAUAAAGUGCGGGACGUGUCCCGUUUUGUAUGUACCUUAUGAAUAAGGAUCGGCUAACUCCGUGCCAGCAGCCGCGGUAAGACGGAGGAUCCGAGAGUUAUCCGGAUUUAUUGGGUUUAAAGGGUGCGUAGGCGGCCUUUUAAGUCAGCUGGGAAAGUCUGUGGCUCAACCAUAGAAUUGCCGUUGAAACUGGGAGGCUUGAGUAUGUUUGAGGCAGGCGGAAUGCGUGGUGUAGCGGUGAAAUGCUUAGAUAUCACGCAGAACCCCGAUUGCGAAGGCAGCCUGCCAAGCCAUGACUGACGCUGAUGCACGAAAGCGUGGGGAUCAAACAGGAUUAGAUACCCUAGUAGUC
RNAcentral lists this ribosomal RNA (460 nucleotides) under uncultured bacterium. RNAcentral describes it as "partial 16S ribosomal RNA". It matches the Rfam family "Bacterial small subunit ribosomal RNA", at positions 338 to 795 of the family's 1533-position model. The record is from RNAcentral.